Molecule: transfer RNA, 88 nt
Filed under: Planctomycetaceae bacterium
Lineage: Bacteria; Pseudomonadati; Planctomycetota; Planctomycetia; Planctomycetales; Planctomycetaceae
Also listed under: 1 other name
Description: tRNA-Ser
Rfam family: tRNA
About the family: Transfer RNA (tRNA) molecules are approximately 80 nucleotides in length.
Source: RNAcentral
GGAAGGGUGGCAGAGCGGUAAUGCGUCGGCUUGCUAAGCCGUAGCCUGCGUGACAAACGCAGCCCGUGUUCGAUCCACGGCCCUUCCG